RNAcentral lists this ribosomal RNA (253 nucleotides) under uncultured bacterium. RNAcentral's name for it is "partial 16S ribosomal RNA". It matches the Rfam family "Bacterial small subunit ribosomal RNA", at positions 524 to 776 of the family's 1533-position model. The record is from RNAcentral.
UACGGGGGGGGCAAGCGUUGUUCGGAAUUACUGGGCGUAAAGGGUUCGUAGGUGGCCAACUAAGUCAGACGUGAAAUCCCUCAGCUUAACUGGGGAACUGCGUCUGAGACUGGAUGGCUUGAGUGCAGGAGAGGAACGCGGAAUUCCAGGUGUAGCGGUGAAAUGCGUAGAUAUCUGGAGGAACACCGGUGGCGAAGGCGGCGUUCUGGACUGCAACUGACACUGAGAGACGAAAGCCAGGGGAGCAAACGGG